RNAcentral lists this ribosomal RNA (419 nucleotides) under uncultured bacterium. RNAcentral's name for it is "bacterial SSU rRNA". It matches the Rfam family "Bacterial small subunit ribosomal RNA", at positions 356 to 772 of the family's 1533-position model. The record is from RNAcentral.
AAGGAAUAUUGGUCAAUGGACGCAAGUCUGAACCAGCCAUGCCGCGUGGAGGAUGAAGGCCCUCUGGGUUGUAAACUUCUUUUACAGGGGACGAAACACUCUUUUUCUAAAGAGCUUGACGGUACCCUGGGAAUAAGCACCGGCUAACUCCGUGCCAGCAGCCGCGGUAAUACGGAGGGUGCAAGCGUUAUCCGGAUUCACUGGGUUUAAAGGGUGCGUAGGCGGGCUUGUAAGUCCGUGGUGAAAUCUCUGAGCUUAACUCGGAAACUGCCAUGGAUACUAUGAGUCUUGAAUACUCGGGAGGUGAGCGGAAUAUGUCAUGUAGCGGUGAAAUGCUUAGAUAUGACAUAGAACACCAAUUGCGAAGGCAGCUUGCUACAGAGUUAUUGACGCUGAGGCACGAAAGCGUGGGGAUCAAA